Bradysia coprophila is the source of this 665-nucleotide long non-coding RNA. NCBI's taxonomy places the organism in Eukaryota, Metazoa, Arthropoda, Insecta, Diptera, Sciaridae. The record is from RefSeq and is a predicted model, not a curated record.
CAUUAUCAGGUAAUUAAACCCUUUACAAUCAAUCAACCGGUUAAUUGUUAUCAUAAAAGUAAACAUUCAAUUAUAGAACGAAGCGUAGUUUCACAUAAAAUAUUCUCAUAUCAAUUCAAAUGUGUUUAUUUUGCACGCAGACCGACUCAACUCGAAUUAACACAUUUAUUCCAACCAGCACCAAUGAAAUUCCAUAUCGACAAUCUAAUUUGUUUUUUGUUAUUUGUUGCACACCGUACAACUGUUGUUAUUAUUCAAUUUACGGUGCUGGGUGCUAUUAUGUGAACUGUGAACGGUUUGGUUUUGUGUUUUAAGUUGACUAUAAAUGACUGAUGGACAUCGGUUCAUGUUCCAUUAAAGAAUCAACGUUCUAACUAACAAGAAUAUAAUACAAAGUUUGUAUCUUAUCUGAGUUCUAGUUGUGUCAGAAAGUGAAUUUCAUAAAAAUGGUUUGCAAAGGUUGUGGAACAAAUUGUCAAUGCACAUCCACAAAGUGUGGCACUGGAUGCAAGUGUGAUGCUCAGUGCAAUUGCCCGUGCAAGACACAAGAAAAAGGAAAGGAAGGAUGCUGCAACUGAAAUUUGAUCACUGUCGCUUAUCACAGUGUCCACUCCAAUAACUUCUGUAUUAUGUAACCGUAAUAAAAAUCAAUUAGAAGAAGCAAA